GAUGAACGCUGGCGGCGUGCCUAAUACAUGCAAGUAGAACGCUGAAGGAGGAGCUUGCUCUUCUGGAUGAGUUGCGAACGGGUGAGUAACGCGUAGGUAACCUGCCUGGUAGCGGGGGAUAACUAUUGGAAACGAUAGCUAAUACCGCAUGACAACAGUUAUUGCAUGAUAACUGUUUAAAAGGGGCAACUGCUCCACUACCAGAUGGACCUGCGUUGUAUUAGCUAGUUGGUGAGGUAACGGCUCACCAAGGCGACGAUACAUAGCCGACCUGAGAGGGUGAUCGGCCACACUGGGACUGAGACACGGCCCAGACUCCUACGGGAGGCAGCAGUAGGGAAUCUUCGGCAAUGGACGGAAGUCUGACCGAGCAACGCUGCGUGAGUGAAGAAGGUUUUCGGAUCGUAAAGCUCUGUUGUAAGAGAAGAACGAGUGUGAGAGUGGAAAGUUCACACUGUGACGGUAUCUUACCAGAAAGGGACGGCUAACUACGUG
Molecule: ribosomal RNA, 495 nt
Filed under: uncultured bacterium
Lineage: Bacteria
Description: partial 16S ribosomal RNA
Rfam family: Bacterial small subunit ribosomal RNA
Source: RNAcentral